This 688-nucleotide ribosomal RNA is filed under the name Shigella sp. Its description in RNAcentral is "bacterial SSU rRNA". It matches the Rfam family "Bacterial small subunit ribosomal RNA", at positions 28 to 705 of the family's 1533-position model. Lineage: Bacteria; Pseudomonadati; Pseudomonadota; Gammaproteobacteria; Enterobacterales; Enterobacteriaceae. The record is from RNAcentral.
AUUGAACGCUGGCGGCAGGCCUAACACAUGCAAGUCGAACGGUAACAGGAAGAAGCUUGCUUCUUUGCUGACGAGUGGCGGACGGGUGAGUAAUGUCUGGGAAACUGCCUGAUGGAGGGGGAUAACUACUGGAAACGGUAGCUAAUACCGCAUAACGUCGCAAGACCAAAGAGGGGGACCUUCGGGCCUCUUGCCAUCGGAUGUGCCCAGAUGGGAUUAGCUAGUAGGUGGGGUAACGGCUCACCUAGGCGACGAUCCCUAGCUGGUCUGAGAGGAUGACCAGCCACACUGGAACUGAGACACGGUCCAGACUCCUACGGGAGGCAGCAGUGGGGAAUAUUGCACAAUGGGCGCAAGCCUGAUGCAGCCAUGCCGCGUGUAUGAAGAAGGCCUUCGGGUUGUAAAGUACUUUCAGCGGGGAGGAAGGGAGUAAAGUUAAUACCUUUGCUCAUUGACGUUACCCGCAGAAGAAGCACCGGCUAACUCCGUGCCAGCAGCCGCGGUAAUACGGAGGGUGCAAGCGUUAAUCGGAAUUACUGGGCGUAAAGCGCACGCAGGCGGUUUGUUAAGUCAGAUGUGAAAUCCCCGGGCUCAACCUGGGAACUGCAUCUGAUACUGGCAAGCUUGAGUCUCGUAGAGGGGGGUAGAAUUCCAGGUGUAGCGGUGAAAUGCGUAGAGAUCUGGAGGA